GACGAACGCUGGCGGCGUGCUUAACACAUGCAAGUCGAACGGAAAGGCCUCUUUCGGGGGGUACUCGAGUGGCGAACGGGUGAGUAACACGUGAGUAACCUGCCCUUGACUUUGGGAUAACUUCAGGAAACUGGGGCUAAUACCGGAUAGGAGCUCCUGCUGCAUGGUGGGGGUUGGAAAGUUUCGGCGGUUGGGGAUGGACUCGCGGCUUAUCAGCUUGUUGGUGGGGUAGUGGCUUACCAAGGCCUUGACGGGUAGCCGGCCUGAGAGGGUGAGCGGCCACAUUGGGACUGAGAUACGGCCCAGAUUCCUACGGGAGGCAGCAGUGGGGAAUAUUGCACAAUGGGUGGAAGCCUGAUGCAGCAACGCCGUGUGCGGGAUGACGGCCUUCGGGUUGUAAACCGCUUUCGCUCAUGACGAAGCUUUGUGUGACGGUAGUGGGUAAAGAAGCACCGGCUAACUACGUG
Molecule: ribosomal RNA, 467 nt
Filed under: uncultured bacterium
Lineage: Bacteria
Description: partial 16S ribosomal RNA
Rfam family: Bacterial small subunit ribosomal RNA
Source: RNAcentral